This 492-nucleotide ribosomal RNA is filed under the name uncultured bacterium. RNAcentral describes it as "partial 16S ribosomal RNA". It matches the Rfam family "Bacterial small subunit ribosomal RNA", at positions 29 to 507 of the family's 1533-position model. The record is from RNAcentral.
AGUGAACGCUGGCGGUAGGCCUAACACAUGCAAGUCGAACGGCAGCACAGUAAGAGCUUGCUCUUACGGGUGGCGAGUGGCGGACGGGUGAGGAAUACAUCGGAAUCUACUUUUUCGUGGGGGAUAACGUAGGGAAACUUACGCUAAUACCGCAUACGACCUACGGGUGAAAGCAGGGGAUCUUCGGACCUUGCGCGAUUGAAUGAGCCGAUGUCGGAUUAGCUAGUUGGCGGGGUAAAGGCCCACCAAGGCGACGAUCCGUAGCUGGUCUGAGAGGAUGAUCAGCCACACCGGAACUGAGACACGGUCCAGGCUCCUACGGGAGGCAGCAGUGGGGAAUAUUGGACAAUGGGCGCAAGCCUGAUCCAGCCAUACCGCGUGGGUGAAGAAGGCCUUCGGGUUGUAAAGCCCUUUUGUUGGGAAAGAAAAGCAGCAGGUUAAUACCCCGCUGUUCUGACGGUACCCAAAGAAUAAGCACCGGCUAACUUCGUG